Molecule: ribosomal RNA, 490 nt
Filed under: uncultured bacterium
Lineage: Bacteria
Description: partial 16S ribosomal RNA
Rfam family: Bacterial small subunit ribosomal RNA
Source: RNAcentral
GAUGAACGCUAGCGAUAGGCUUAACACAUGCAAGUCGAGGGGCAGCAUGGUCUUAGCUUGCUAAGACUGAUGGCGACCGGCGCACGGGUGCGUAACGCGUAUGCAACUUGCCUCACAGAGGGGGAUAACCCGUCGAAAGACGGACUAAUACCGCGUACACUCCAUCUUGGGCAUCCAAGGUAGAGGAAAUGAAAUUCGCUGUGAGAUAGGCAUGCGUCCCAUUAGCUAGUUGGUGAGGUAACGGCUCACCAAGGCGACGAUGGGUAGGGGAACUGAGAGGUGGAACCCCCACACUGGUACUGAGGCACGGACCAGACUACUACGGGAGGCAGCAGUGAGGAAUAUUGGUCAAUGGGCGAGAGCCUGAACCAGCCAAGUCGCGUGAAGGAUGACUGUCUUAUGGAUUGUAAACUUCUUUUAGACGGGAAUAACAAGAGCCACGUGUGACUCCCUGCAUGUACCGUAUGAAUAAGCAUCGGCUAACUCCGUG